CUACGAGGACGAACGCUGGCGGCAUGCCUAACACAUGCAAGUCGAACGGAGAUAAGCGCUGAUGAAGCUUCGGCAGAUUCUUGCUUAUCUUAGUGCGGACGGGCGAGUAACGCGUGAGCAACCUGCCUUUCAGGAGGGGGACAACAGUUGGAAACGACUGCUAAUACCGCAUAACACAUCGGAGGGGGCAUCCCCAUGAUGUCAAAGAUUUAUCGCUGAAAGAUGGGCUCGCGUCUGAUUAGAUAGUUGGUGGGGUAACGGCUCACCAAGUCGACGAUCAGUAGCCGGACUGAGAGGUUGAACGGCCACAUUGGGACUGAGAUACGGCCCAGACUCCUACGGGAGGCAGCAGGUGGGGAAUAUUGGGCAAUGGGGGAAACCCUGACCCAGCAACGCCGCGUGAAGGAAGAAGGCCUUCGGGUUGUAAACUUCUUUUAGCAGGGACGAAGAACGUGACGGUACCUGCAGAAAAAGCAACGGCUAACUACGUG
This 491-nucleotide ribosomal RNA is filed under the name uncultured bacterium. Its description in RNAcentral is "bacterial SSU rRNA". It matches the Rfam family "Bacterial small subunit ribosomal RNA", at positions 26 to 507 of the family's 1533-position model. The record is from RNAcentral.